This 578-nucleotide long non-coding RNA is filed under the name Sinocyclocheilus anshuiensis. RNAcentral's name for it is "lncRNA (ENSSANG00000039829.1)". Lineage: Eukaryota; Metazoa; Chordata; Actinopteri; Cypriniformes; Cyprinidae. The record is from RNAcentral.
AACUCAUCCUGAUUAAUAGGUCUAAUUACUUGGGUGUGGUUUCCUCUGGGUUCACGACACACUCUUGAUAUAAACUUGAGAAAAAUUUUGGAUUAACUUUUUUUAGUUUUGUGAAAGCUUUUCCUUCGGUGUAGAAAACUUCAAGAUAUGGCUGCUAUAGUAACCCAAGAUCCCACUGGCGGUAUUGCAAGUGUACUCCAUAGACCACUGCAUGCACAAGCCCCUCAGCGCCCUGGUCCUCUGCCCUCCAGAAUAUUACACCCAGAAGAGCAUCUCCAGCGAAACCAGCCCUUUUACGUUCCCACUGUCCAGCCGUUCUUCCCAUAUCAAUGGUCCAUGUCAACUCCAUAUGUGCCCUAUGGUGGCUUUAAUGGAUUAGAUCUUUUCUAGAUUGUCUUGACCACAUUAACCUCUCAAACAAGUGAAAACAUGGAGGGAACCUCAUGCUUUUCAUAAUAUGAUGUGUGAUCUUUAGGAAUCCAUCGUAAGCUGGAAAAUUCCUAAUGUUUCUGCUCAGGCCUAUUAUUAGGUGUCCAGUAUAAGCUAUAACUUUCUAUUUCUAUGAUGAAGACUUGCUA